GGGUUGUGAGGUUAAGCGACUAAGCGUACACGGUGGAUGCCCUGGCAGUCAGAGGCGAUGAAGGGCGUGCUAAUCUGCGAUAAGCGCCGGUAAGGUGAUAUGAACCGUUAUAACCGGCGAUACCCGAAUGGGGAAACCCAGUGUGACUCGUCACACUAUCAUUAACUGAAUCCAUAGGUUAAUGAGGCGAACCGGGGGAACUGAAACAUCUAAGUACCCCGAGGAAAAGAAAUCAACCGAGAUUCCCCCAGUAGCGGCGAGCGAACGGGGAGGAGCCCAGAGCCUGAAUCAGCAUGUGUGUUAGUGGAAGCGUCUGGAAAGGCGCGCGAUACAGGGUGACAGCCCCGUACACAAAAGCGCAUGUGCUGUGAGCUCGAUGAGUAGGGCGGGACACGUGGUAUCCUGUCUGAAUAUGGGGGGACCAUCCUCCAAGGCUAAAUACUCCUGACUGACCGAUAGUGAACCAGUACCGUGAGGGAAAGGCGAAAAGAACCCCGGCGAGGGGAGUGAAAAAGAACCUGAAACCGUGUACGUACAAGCAGUGGGAGCNNNNNNNNNNNNNNNNNNNNNNNGGGCGUUAAGUUGCAGGGUAUAGACCCGAAACCCGGUGAUCUAGCCAUGGGCAGGUUGAAGGUUGGGUAACACUAACUGGAGGACCGAACCGACUAAUGUUGAAAAAUUAGCGGAUGACCUGUGGCUGGGGGUGAAAGGCCAAUCAAACCGGGAGAUAGCUGGUUCUCCCCGAAAGCUAUUUAGGUAGCGCCUCGUGAAUUCAUCUCCGGGGGUAGAGCACUGUUUCGGCUAGGGGGCCAUCCCGGCUUACCAACCCGAUGCAAACUGCGAAUACCGGAGAAUGUUAUCACGGGAGACACACGGCGGGUGCUAACGUCCGUCGUGAAGAGGGAAACAACCCAGACCGCCAGCUAAGGUCCCAAAGUCAUGGUUAAGUGGGAAACGAUGUGGGAAGGCCCAGACAGCCAGGAUGUUGGCUUAGAAGCAGCCAUCAUUUAAAGAAAGCGUAAUAGCUCACUGGUCGAGUCGGCCUGCGCGGAAGAUGUAACGGGGCUAAACCAUGCACCGAAGCUGCGGCAGCGANNUGCUGGAGGUAUCAGAAGUGCGAAUGCUGACAUAAGUAACGAUAAAGCGGGUGAAAAGCCCGCUCGCCGGAAGACCAAGGGUUCCUGUCCAACGUUAAUCGGGGCAGGGUGAGUCGACCCCUAAGGCGAGGCCGAAAGGCGUAGUCGAUGGGAAACGGGUUAAUAUUCCCGUACUUGGUGUUACUGCGAAGGGGGGACGGAGAAGGCUAUGUUGGCCGGGCGACGGUUGUCCCGGUUUAAGCGUGUAGGUGUGUGUUCCAGGUAAAUCCGGUUCACUUUAACACUGAGGCGUGACGACGAGGCACUACGGUGCUGAAGCAACAAAUGCCCUGCUUCCAGGAAAAGCCUCUAAGCAUCAGGUAACAUCAAAUCGUACCCCAAACCGACACAGGUGGUCAGGUAGAGAAUACCAAGGCGCUUGAGAGAACUCGGGUGAAGGAACUAGGCAAAAUGGUGCCGUAACUUCGGGAGAAGGCACGCUGACACGUAGGUGAAGUGAUUUACUCAUGGAGCUGAAGUCAGUCGAAGAUACCAGCUGGCUGCAACUGUUUAUUAAAAACACAGCACUGUGCAAACACGAAAGUGGACGUAUACGGUGUGACGCCUGCCCGGUGCCGGAAGGUUAAUUGAUGGGGUCAGCGCAAGCGAAGCUCCUGAUCGAAGCCCCGGUAAACGGCGGCCGUAACUAUAACGGUCCUAAGGUAGCGAAAUUCCUUGUCGGGUAAGUUCCGACCUGCACGAAUGGCGUAAUGAUGGCCAGGCUGUCUCCACCCGAGACUCAGUGAAAUUGAACUCGCUGUGAAGAUGCAGUGUACCCGCGGCAAGACGGAAAGACCCCGUGAACCUUUACUAUAGCUUGACACUGAACAUUGAGCCUUGAUGUGUAGGAUAGGUGGGAGGCUUUGAAGUGUGGACGCCAGUCUGCAUGGAGCCGACCUUGAAAUACCACCCUUUAAUGUUUGAUGUUCUAACGUGGACCCGUUACCCGGGUUGCGGACAGUGUCUGGUGGGUAGUUUGACUGGGGCGGUCUCCUCCUAAAGAGUAACGGAGGAGCACGAAGGUUGGCUAAUCCUGGUCGGACAUCAGGAGGUUAGUGCAAUGGCAUAAGCCAGCUUGACUGCGAGCGUGACGGCGCGAGCAGGUGCGAAAGCAGGUCAUAGUGAUCCGGUGGUUCUGAAUGGAAGGGCCAUCGCUCAACGGAUAAAAGGUACUCCGGGGAUAACAGGCUGAUACCGCCCAAGAGUUCAUAUCGACGGCGGUGUUUGGCACCUCGAUGUCGGCUCAUCACAUCCUGGGGCUGAAGUAGGUCCCAAGGGUAUGGCUGUUCGCCAUUUAAAGUGGUACGCGAGCUGGGUUUAGAACGUCGUGAGACAGUUCGGUCCCUAUCUGCCGUGGGCGCUGGAGAACUGAGGGGGGCUGCUCCUAGUACGAGAGGACCGGAGUGGACGCAUCACUGGUGUUCGGGUUGUCAUGCCAAUGGCACUGCCCGGUAGCUAAAUGCGGAAGAGAUAAGUGCUGAAAGCAUCUAAGCACGAAACUUGCCCCGAGAUGAGUUCUCCCUGAGACUUA
Molecule: ribosomal RNA, 2667 nt
Filed under: Salmonella enterica subsp. enterica serovar Heidelberg
Lineage: Bacteria; Pseudomonadati; Pseudomonadota; Gammaproteobacteria; Enterobacterales; Enterobacteriaceae
Also listed under: 1 other name
Description: partial 23S ribosomal RNA
Rfam family: Bacterial large subunit ribosomal RNA
Source: RNAcentral